GACGAACGCUGGCGGCGUGCUUAACACAUGCAAGUCGAACGGAAAGGCCCUGCUUUUGUGGGGUGCUCGAGUGGCGAACGGGUGAGUAACACGUGAGUAACCUGGCCUUGACUUUGGGAUAACUUCAGGAAACUGGGGCUAAUACCGGAUAGGAGCUCCUGCUGCAUGGUGGGGGUUGGAAAGUUUCGGCGGUUGGGGAUGGACUCGCGGCUUAUCAGCUUGUUGGUGGGGUAGUGGCUUACCAAGGCUUUGACGGGUAGCCGGCCUGAGAGGGUGACCGGCCACAUUGGGACUGAGAUACGGCCCAGACUCCUACGGGAGGCAGCAGUGGGGAAUAUUGCACAAUGGGCGGAAGCCUGAUGCAGCAACGCCGCGUGCGGGAUGACGGCCUUCGGGUUGUAAACCGCUUUCGCCUGUGACGAAGCGUGAGUGACGGUAAUGGGUGAAGAAGCACCGGCUAACUACGUG
RNAcentral lists this ribosomal RNA (468 nucleotides) under uncultured bacterium. RNAcentral describes it as "partial 16S ribosomal RNA". It matches the Rfam family "Bacterial small subunit ribosomal RNA", at positions 28 to 507 of the family's 1533-position model. The record is from RNAcentral.